Molecule: ribosomal RNA, 327 nt
Filed under: uncultured eukaryote
Lineage: Eukaryota
Description: partial 18S ribosomal RNA
Rfam family: Eukaryotic small subunit ribosomal RNA
Source: RNAcentral
CCCUUAGAUGUUCUGGGCCGCAUACGCGCUACACUGAAGGAGGCAGCGUGUACUCCUGGAUCGAAAGAUUUGGGUAACCCGCGAAUCUCCUUCGUGCUAGGGAUUGAGGUUUGCAAUUAUCCUUCAUGAACGAGGAAUUCCCAGUAAGUGCAAGUCAUAAGCUUGCGCUGACUACGUCCCUGCCCUUUGUACACACCGCCCGUCGCUACUACCGAUUGAAUGAUUUAGUGAGGACUUCGGACUGGGACCGAUGCGGCUUUCGGGCUGCGUCGGUAUUCUGGAAAGAUGUCCAAACUGUAUCAUUUAGAGGAAGUAAAAGUCGUAACA